GGAGGGUUAGCUCAAGUGGUAGAGUGCAUGCUUAGAAUGUGUGAGGUCCUGGGUUCAAUCCCCAGUACCUCCU
RNAcentral lists this transfer RNA (73 nucleotides) under Camelus bactrianus (Bactrian camel). It matches the Rfam family "tRNA". Rfam says of the family: Transfer RNA (tRNA) molecules are approximately 80 nucleotides in length. RNAcentral also lists the same sequence under 2 other names. The record is from Rfam by way of RNAcentral. Lineage: Eukaryota; Metazoa; Chordata; Mammalia; Artiodactyla; Camelidae.